UACAGAGGGUGCGAGCGUUGUCCGGAAUCACUGGGCGUAAAGGGCGCGUAGGUGGUGGCUUAAGCGUGCGGUGAAAGCUCGGGGCUCAACCCCGAGUCGGCCGUGCGAACUGGGCUCACUGGAGCAUAGUAGAGGCAGGUGGAAUUCCGGGUGUAGCGGUGGAAUGCGUAGAGAAUCCGGAAGAACACCGGUGGCGAAGGCGGCCUGCUGGGCUAUGGCUGACACUGAGGCGCGACAGCGUGGGGAGCAAACAGG
This 255-nucleotide ribosomal RNA is filed under the name uncultured bacterium. RNAcentral's name for it is "partial 16S ribosomal RNA". It matches the Rfam family "Bacterial small subunit ribosomal RNA", at positions 524 to 776 of the family's 1533-position model. The record is from RNAcentral.